AUGCGGCCACCAAUAUGCAGUCAGCGUCGCUCUGACCCUGGUGGCCCUGGCGUGGCGUCCUGCUCGCUGCUCGUCUCCCCGUCCGUGCAGGGGCGCUCUACCUCUCUCCACCGUAGGGACCCAGCGGCGGCCCUCUCCUUUACCAAUGGGAAGGGCGGCAAUUCAACCAGCUUUGGCAUGCGAUCCAAGGUAUCAACAGAGAUGCUUCUGCCCCGGACAAAUUUAGGUGGCCUUGGACUAAUGACGGCUCGUACUCCGCUACCUCGGCCUUGGACUAAUAUUGGUAUUCCGGCAGCGCAAUGUAUCUGGAAGUGUUGGGCGCCUCUACGCUGUAAAUUUUCUCCUUGGCAUGCGGUGCAGCACUGUGUGUAG
This 372-nucleotide ribosomal RNA is filed under the name Triticum aestivum (bread wheat). Its description in RNAcentral is "partial small subunit ribosomal RNA". The record is from RNAcentral. Lineage: Eukaryota; Viridiplantae; Streptophyta; Magnoliopsida; Poales; Poaceae.